Molecule: long non-coding RNA, 300 nt
Filed under: Equus caballus (horse)
Lineage: Eukaryota; Metazoa; Chordata; Mammalia; Perissodactyla; Equidae
Description: lncRNA (ENSECAG00000056568.1)
Source: RNAcentral
UGCUUCUGUCCUCCAGAGGCCCCCAACAGCAUUCUGCAGGUGAACACCGGCUCAUUUGAAGCUUUGACUUUCAAGAUUUCAAAGGAAGGAGCUGAGAUGUGUGUAAGCAGAAGCAGGUUUGAUAGGCAGAUUCCAAGAUGGCCCCCAGCGAUCCUUACCCCCUGCUGUUCGCGUCCUUCGACGACUCCGGUGAAUAGGGCUGACCUGUGUGACUAACAGGAUAUUGCAGAAGUGAUGGUAGAUGACUUCUGAAGCUAGCCAUACAGGGUGCCACAGCUUCUGCCCUGUUCUCCUGGAUCA